CAGUGGCAGACGGCUGAGUAACGCGUAGGAACCUGCCCACCAGUGGGGGACAACCUGCCGAAAGGCGGGCUAAUACCGCAUACGACCGCUCUUUGGGGUGAGGAAAGCCGCAAGGUGCUGGUGGAGGGGCCUGCGUCCGAUUAGCUAGUUGGUGGGGUAACGGCCUACCAAGGCGCCGAUCGGUAGCUGGUCUGAGAGGAUGAUCAGCCAGACUGGGACUGGGACACGGCCCAGACUCCUACGGGAGGCAGCAGUUAGGAAUUUUGGGCAAUGGCCGCAAGGCUGACCCAGCAACGCCGCGUGGGGGACGAAGGCUCUCGGGUCGUAAACCCCUUUUCCCAGGGACGAUAGUGACGGUACCUGGGGAAUAAGCCCCGGCUAACUACGUGCCAGCAGCCGCGGUAAUACGUAGGGGGCGAGCGUUGUCCGGAUUCAUUGGGCGUAAAGCGCGUGCAGGCGGCCUGGUAAGUCGGCCGUGAAAGCGCCAGGCUUAACCUGGCGAGGUCGGGCGAGACUGCUAGGCUGGAGGCCGGUAGAGGGCGGUGGAAUUCCGGGUGUAGUGGUGGAAUGCGUAGAGAUCCGGAGGAACACCAGUGGCGAAGGCGGCCGCCUGGGCCGGACC
This 622-nucleotide ribosomal RNA is filed under the name uncultured bacterium. RNAcentral describes it as "bacterial SSU rRNA". It matches the Rfam family "Bacterial small subunit ribosomal RNA", at positions 93 to 740 of the family's 1533-position model. The record is from RNAcentral.